CGCGUAGGCGGGUUCCCAAGUCUGUGGUGAAAUCCUCCAGCCUAACUGGAGAAGUGCCAUGGAUACUGGAGACCUCGAGGAGGGUAGGGGCAUCUGGAACAGCCGGUGGAGCGGUGAAAUGCGUUGAUAUCGGCUGGAACUCCGAUGGCGAAGGCAAGGUGCUGGACCCUAUCUGACGCUGAGGCGCGAAAGCCAGGGGAGCGAACG
This 207-nucleotide ribosomal RNA is filed under the name uncultured bacterium. Its description in RNAcentral is "partial 16S ribosomal RNA". It matches the Rfam family "Bacterial small subunit ribosomal RNA", at positions 568 to 774 of the family's 1533-position model. The record is from RNAcentral.